RNAcentral lists this long non-coding RNA (264 nucleotides) under Rattus norvegicus (Norway rat). RNAcentral describes it as "long non-coding RNA NONRATT031480". The record is from RNAcentral. Lineage: Eukaryota; Metazoa; Chordata; Mammalia; Rodentia; Muridae.
GUGGAUGGAUGGAUGGGUAGAUGGAUGGACUGAUUUCCAAUGAAUGACAACUUCUCUUUUCUCUAGGUUCAAAGACACCUAGGCAGACUCAGAGACAGCACAUACAGUUGUUAAGAAUUACUGUUGACAUCUGGAGGACCGGAGCUCUUCAGCAGAUCCAUUCCUGCGUUUAUGUUGAACCUGACUGUCUUCGCUGUACAGGUACAGCAUCUUCUCCGUUAUCAAGGAGGGUAGGAUUAGAACUCUGGCCAGUGUAGUUUAAUG